This is a long non-coding RNA of Athalia rosae (coleseed sawfly), 4210 nucleotides long. RefSeq lists it as uncharacterized. The record is from RefSeq and is a predicted model, not a curated record. The transcript is spliced from 3 exons. Lineage: Eukaryota; Metazoa; Arthropoda; Insecta; Hymenoptera; Athaliidae.
ACCGCCCUCGACUUCCUACGAACGAGGCGAACGCGAGUGUCGUCUUAUACCCGCGUUCAAAUCUCCGCCGCCAGCUGAGAUGAUCGGCUACAUUCGUGUUAUAAUAGGCGACAUCGCUCCAACUUCCCACAUCGAUGCGAGACUAUAUAUAAUGAUGGGCAUAUUCGAGCAGCUUCGCGUGCCUCAAAGCUGCUCUUCAUAUCUCUCUCAUUUCUUUCGCGACGUUAAAUCCGUAUCAUAAACUUCUCAUUAAUUCAAUCCAAUCGCUACAGGAAGUUGGAUUCGCGUGAUGAUAAUCGCGCAAGAGUUUUCGCCGUAACCGUCCUUAAUUACACGCGAUUUUCUACGGUCGACACGAAUAGGUGUAACUUAUAGUUCAUUAUAAGAUUUUUCCUAUACACCAGCUAUCUCGCCAGCUAUAAAUACUCUUUCUCUAUGUUCUGUAUGCGUAUAACGUGUAAUAAUCUUACCCAACAUCUCACCUAUUUGUAUAGAACACACAACAAUCAGCGGCGAUUCAUGAGUCGAGUAAAUUUUCUCAUCAAAUUUUGGUUCGUAUUUAUGAGUCUUUUUUUUUCAAUAUAGCCACAUACACACUACCCAUGUUUAUAUGUAGUACAUCGCUCAAAUUCUACAUAAGUAUAUGUGUGUGUAAUACAUGCAAUAAUUAUAUUUCUAAAUGCAUAUCGCGCGGAGACUCGGUCUUCGAUCAUUUUCAUGGCGUGCGAGGCAUCGGUAGCAAAAGGCUACGCGUCAAAACACGAUUGAAUAAAUCUUCACCACGCUCAAUUUAUAAUUCAUCGUUAUCUCCCGAGUGAUCCAAAGGUGAUUUAGUGCCGCAAGAGUUCCUAUGGAAUCGUACUUCUUGUCAACGAUGCUAAAGAACCAAAGGACUGCGGCCACGUACCAUAGUAAAACUUGUAUUCGUUUAUCCAUCCUAACAGAUAUGUGAGGCAUUCCAUGUCAAUUCGACGAUGAUUUUAACCCUCGAAAAUAAUCUCUCCAUUUUAGCUAUUUUCUAAAAUUUACAGCAUCAGAAAUACACCGAGAAUGAAUUUCUUACCUCUUGUUUUAUAAAUUUUACGUGUGAAGGUCACAGAAUGCACAAUAAUCUUUGAAUUCUCUGCUCACACCGAGUUGUGUGCGGAUGAGACCACGGUGUGUGGAGUUGCCCUCUCUUCGCGAAAUAACAUUGCUGGAGCGUGUAAAAGUUCCGCUUACCUCGCGUAGGUCGGACUCGGGAUUGUAAUAUCUGAAGAGCAGAUAUACAACUAAAUAUAAAUUAUGCAAACAAGGUUUGUUUGUGAUUGGAAAAUAUGCGAACGAUUACGAGUGCCCUAAGCACAGCGUAGGGGUCGACCGGAGGUUACGAUAUACGGAGGGUUUCAACGUCAGGCUAUGACAUCACCAAAAGCAGAGAUCAAGAAUGGACAAGAGAGACUGGACCCAAACAGGAUGCUAGGAUUCCUUCGCAUCAACUCGAUUCCGUGCAGUGAUUCUCAAUCGCGUUAUAUUUCAUCAUUUUGAUAACAAACGCGCUUCAAGUGUCAUCAAUCAAACAUUCCGGAAAUACAAGUGAAACGAAAAGACGUUAAUCGCAACGCGAGGGGUGGAAUACCAAAAGGUUUUACUCAAGAACCGAAAAAAUUUUAGGGGCAAUUCGUUUCUUAAUUACGUACAGAGCGAGAAUUUUCAUCGGCCUGAGAUGGUUACUUCAGACCGUCUUGAACUUGAAAGACCACAGAUGACCUAAGCUUGACUUUGCCGACGUCAUCUAGAAUGAAGUGAGUGAGAAUCGCCAGCUCAACUUCCAUUUCAUACCUCACAACUUUCGUACGAAUCUAUAUAUAUGUAAAAGAAUUUUUUUCCUCUCCUUUCUUUCUCCGAUUCACAAAAUUCGACCUUACGGGUGAAUUGAAAUGAAUCACCCUGCGUAAGUUCGUGGGGGUACGUCGCGACGCCUCUAAAGCCGGAUUCAGGUUAGAAGACGACCUUGGCCCAGUGGCCAGAAGAGAUAUACCGCGUUUUGCCAUGCACGAUAAAUGACGAACGACGUUUGCCGCUUCGGUAUGUAUAUCUAUAUAGCUUAGGAUCGUCGUGAGUCGCUUCGUGAUUAACUUGGAAUUACGAGAAUUUUGUCGAAAUUCUUGUCUGGUAUCUGCUACUGCACACUCGUGUAGUUAAGUAUAUAUUGAGUGUAAUGUGAUUCAUUCCGAUCGUCGAGCUGCGGGGUAUAAAAUGUCGGUACGUCGAUAUAUCACGAUUCCCAUGGCGUUUCAUCGAUUUCUAAUAAAUCAACGCAGCAGCUGCUUUUGCUGCAUCAGGUUGAAAAAAUUCUCAGGAAUUUGCAAUCUCAGUCUUUUGAUUUAUUACCUCAUUAUAUUUUUUACACGGUGAUAAACAAAAUCUGUGCAGUAAUACGUGUGUAUAAAUAUACCCAUGUACGGUGCAGGAUCAGGAGCACCUCGAAAGAUGAUAUUUAUGUAACGCGAAAAAAGCGAUCUUCGUUAAUCAAAUCGCAACAGCCUUUAAACUAUAUGACGCGACAUCGGUUGUUAAUAACGUCUGUCCGCCAGGGGCAUCUCUUAUCCGUUUCAGAAAUACCGUACAUUAAUAUAAAACGAAUUUGAAUAUUACAUGUGAAGCUGUGGAAAAAAAUAGAUACGAGAAAUUGCAAAUCAGGCAUUUUUAGAACGCCCAGCAAAUUCAAAAUAUGCGUCUUCCGGGUACGAUAAAGACGAUUUUAAUAUACCUCUAAUACCAAGUAUCCAACGUAACAACCUGUUAUUGUGAGAAUAUAAUCUCAACUUCAAUUGAAUUGUAAGGAUCGCAUAUUUGAUCGAUUUGCAAUUAUUUAGGGUACGAGUUUUACUCUUCGGAUGCCUGAAUUCGAGGGAUUCCCGAUCUUCAUUUCUCCUGAGGAAGAAUGGAAUCUGACUUCAACGUCCUUCUCACGCGUACAAAAAUUACAUUACACAUAAUCAUCUGGUUGUGAGUGGUUUGAAAUGAAAAUGAACAUAUUUCAGAAAUUGUCAAACGUCAUACGAUCCUCUCGUUUCUACAUUAAUGCCAAGAAAAUACCAAAGAAAUUAUACGCACAGGUACACGUGGGUGAAGAUCGAGAGGACCUCGUGACGCCUCUUCGCUUUUUCCCAAGGUCUAAAUCGUAGCGCAAGCACCUUAUAGCCCGAGCAUGUUAUUAUGUAUAUUCCGAGCACCUUUCAUAAUUCUUGCGCGUAGGUAAUGAGAAUUAUUUCUUCAACAUUUACGCACCUUACAUACACCGGAUACGUACGAGUACCUGCAGCAGUUUUGUCUUAAAUUUACGAUUUUCUUCUCAUCGCAAUAUAAUCCUCCCAGUCUCGCGGUCGUCUGUGCUCUGAAAUUACUCUUAUUAUUAUUCUUUUAUUACAGGGUUUCAUUUAUUUAUUGAGCCGACUCAAUUAAUCCAGCGUAUCAUUGCGAAAGAUAAUCGAGUGACAAAAAUCAGACGAGCAGUUUGUCUAUCGAGAUCAAGGAGUUUAUCUUUCUUCAAUCUCAUAAUUUAACUGGAUCACAUUUCCAUCGAUAAUAUACGAUUUUUCGGACGUAUGCGACGUUUUGAAUAAAGUUGUAUCCAAAAGUAUUUUUUCCCAUGGCGAUCGAAAUAAACUUACUUAUCUCUCGUACUUUCCACUAAAAUAAAGCCUCAAUGGAGAAAUAUGAAAGAUUGGCAGACCUACGGGCAAGUUGUAAUACAUUCGGUUGACGUCGUGCGUCAUACAAUCGUACAUAAUUUAUCAUUUCUGCGUUAAGAAACAAUAAUCAAUGAUAAAACCAGAUACGGCAGAACUGGAACUUUGAAAUUUAUGGAUACCCGCCGGUUCAAACUGAACCGUUAACUUAUUGUGUAAAACUAUGAAUAUCACCGCUUUAGUAAAAUCGUUGCAGACACGAAGCCUGUGAGAAAUUCUUUCUUUCUUUCAUCGUUAUAGAUAUGCUUUCUAGCCCGGCGGUGAGAGGUGAUCUUUAUAUGUAGAUUGUUUGUAAUUGUAUUGGUUAGUAUACAUGCAUGCGUACGUAAUGGAAUCGCCAUUUUCAUUCUGUACUAUUUUUCUUUAUUUUAUCUCGGCAUAAUAGUAAGGCUGUCAAGUUCACAUCUGAGCCCAGGGGGCAAACGUGCGCGGUGGAGAAAUUUUACGAUCACCUCAAGAUGAAACGGUGAAAAAAA